UAGCUCAGUCGGUAGAGCAUUCGGCUGUUAACCGAAGUGUCGUAGGUUCAAGUCCUACU
This 59-nucleotide transfer RNA is filed under the name Lachnospiraceae bacterium C10. RNAcentral describes it as "tRNA_Asn_GTT". It matches the Rfam family "tRNA", at positions 8 to 63 of the family's 71-position model. From Rfam's summary of the family: Transfer RNA (tRNA) molecules are approximately 80 nucleotides in length. Their secondary structure includes four short double-helical elements and three loops (D, anti-codon, and T loops). The record is from RNAcentral. Lineage: Bacteria; Bacillati; Bacillota; Clostridia; Lachnospirales; Lachnospiraceae.